AGUAUGGUAGCUUAAGAUAAAGCGGUAGAUUGUAAAUUUAUUGAUAAUUUAUUUCAUCUAA
Molecule: transfer RNA, 61 nt
Filed under: Lithobius maqinensis
Lineage: Eukaryota; Metazoa; Arthropoda; Chilopoda; Lithobiomorpha; Lithobiidae
Description: tRNA-Tyr
Source: RNAcentral